This 245-nucleotide ribosomal RNA is filed under the name uncultured bacterium. RNAcentral describes it as "partial 16S ribosomal RNA". It matches the Rfam family "Bacterial small subunit ribosomal RNA", at positions 524 to 768 of the family's 1533-position model. The record is from RNAcentral.
UACGUAGGGGGCGAGCGUUGUCCGGAGUUACUGGGCGUAAAGGGCGUGUAGGCGGUUGGAUAAGUCUGGCGUGAAAUCCCACGGCUCAACUGUGGAAUGGCGCUGGAAACUGUCUGACUGGAGUUCGGUAGGGGUCACUGGAAUCCCCGGUGUAACGGUGAAAUGUGUAGAUAUCGGGGGGAACACCUGUGGCGAAGGCGGGUGACUGGGCCGCAACUGACGCUGAUACGCGAAAGCGUGGGGAG